GACGAACCGUGCGAACGUUGUUCGGAAUCACUGGGCUUAAAGGGCGCGUAGGCGGGCUGCCGAGUCCGCGGGUGAAAUCCUCCGGCUCAACCGGAGGACGGCCUCGGAUACUGGCGGCCUGGAGGGGGGUAGGGGCGUCUGGAACUGUGGGUGGAGCGGUGAAAUGCGUUGAUAUCCACAGGAACUCCGGUGGCGAAGGCGAGGCGCUGGACCCCAUCUGACGCUGAGGCGCGAAAGCCAGGGGAGCGAACGGGAUUAGAAACCCCCGUAGUCC
RNAcentral lists this ribosomal RNA (274 nucleotides) under uncultured bacterium. RNAcentral's name for it is "partial 16S ribosomal RNA". It matches the Rfam family "Bacterial small subunit ribosomal RNA", at positions 524 to 796 of the family's 1533-position model. The record is from RNAcentral.